CCGUGCUAGGUGGGGAGGUAGCGGUUCCCUGUACUUGAAAGCCGCUUAUGCAAGACUUAACCCCUUUGCCGAGGGUGUAUCUUUGUAAAGUCUGCCCAAAAUACGUAGUGUUUGAAGAUUUCGGUCCUAUGCAAUACGAACCCAUGAAUCAUGUCAGGUCCUGACGGAAGCAGCAUUAAGUGGAUCCUCGUAUGUGCCGUAGGGUAGCCGAAAUUUAGCUAACGACUUUGGUAACGUUUAUGAGAUACACUCGACGCGAAGGUGCACGG
Non-coding RNA from Staphylococcus pettenkoferi, 269 nucleotides. The record is from Rfam. NCBI's taxonomy places the organism in Bacteria, Bacillati, Bacillota, Bacilli, Caryophanales, Staphylococcaceae.